GGUUAAAAUGCAUACUUUGAACCCAACAUAAGAGUUUUAACACCAUAACUGAUAACAUUCUUGCAAGCAAAGAGAAAAUCAAAUUGUUUCACGAUGAACCUGUUCGACUUUCCCGCCUUUUAAGUUUUGAUUAUGCAUAAGAACACAAUUUCAUAAUACAUAAUAUAUAAACUACUAAAUACCACAGCAGGGAAUCAGACCCCGAUGGUCACAGCAACUAUUCGAUAGAUAAUACAAAUUACCACAGCAGGGACAGAGAUGGUCACAGCAACUAUCCCAUGGCAAAUUUUUGAGUCCAGCUCCGGGCAGUUGUCUCAUACUUGCUCCUAUCAGUUUUGUACAUAUGAGCAAUCUCCGGCACCAAAGGGUCAUCGGGAUUAGGGUCUGUCAGCAGAGAACAGAUAGAGAGCAGUACCUUGGAGAUGGUAAGUGCAGGGCUCCACUGUUCCUUCAAAAUGUCAAGGCAAAUGCUGCCAUUGCUAUUGAUGUUCGGGUGGAAAACCUUUGUCCUGAAAGCUACCUUUGGUGGCUUGAAUGGAUAGUCAGGUGGAAAAUGAAUAGUAACAAGAAACACUCCACCAGAAUAGGGACUGUCAGCUGGACCCAUGAUUGUUGCUUGCCAGUGGAACAUGUCAUCAGCAACUGGU
RNAcentral lists this unclassified non-coding RNA (647 nucleotides) under Hevea brasiliensis (rubber tree). The record is from RNAcentral. Lineage: Eukaryota; Viridiplantae; Streptophyta; Magnoliopsida; Malpighiales; Euphorbiaceae.